Molecule: ribosomal RNA, 408 nt
Filed under: uncultured ammonia-oxidizing bacterium
Lineage: Bacteria
Description: bacterial SSU rRNA
Rfam family: Bacterial small subunit ribosomal RNA
Source: RNAcentral
CUGGUAGUCCACGCCCUAAACGAUGUCAACUGGUUGUCGGAUCUAAUUAAGGAUUUGGUAACGUAGCUAACGCGUGAAGUUGACCGCCUGGGGAGUACGGUCGCAAGAUUAAAACUCAAAGGAAUUGACGGGGACCCGCACAAGCGGUGGAUUAUGUGGAUUAAUUCGAUGCAACGCGAAAAACCUUACCUACCCUUGACAUGCUUGGAAUCUAAUGGAGACAUAAGAGUGCCCGAAAGGGAGCCAAGACACAGGUGCUGCAUGGCUGUCGUCAGCUCGUGUCGUGAGAUGUUGGGUUAAGUCCCGCAACGAGCGCAACCCUUGUCACUAAUUGCUAUCAUUUUUAAUGAGCACUUUAGUGAGACUGCCGGUGACAAACCGGAGGAGGGUGGGGAUGACGUCAAGUCC